GGGACAGAGGCCUGGCUAUCAGCUGCAGCAGACAGACUGAAAAGCAACUGACUCAUAUAUUCACUAAAAUAGAAGACAAGAUGGGGCAUUUUUUUUGCAGAAACAGAACCUAUGUUAAAAUGUCAAAUGGAUAUUAGAAAGCCAACACUGACCUUAAUUAAUAAAUAGAUUAACAGAUUGGAUAGCAGAGGAGAGGCAAAGGCAGAGAGAGCAACAAGGCUGGAAAAUGACAGAAAAGAGCACGAGAUACUGGCACAUGACAUAAAGACCACAUAGAUGAGAGGGGUGCAUUGCUCAAAGAGAUGAUGGCGGAGAAUUUCCCCCAGAUAAAAACAAAUAAUAAUCAAAGGCAAAGACUCAAGAACUGUUAGAAAUCUCAGCAGGAUAAAUGCAAAUAGAGCCAGGCAUAGGCAUGCCCCAGUCAGAAGCUAAAACCCAAAGACAAGGAGAAGCUUGGAA
This 459-nucleotide long non-coding RNA is filed under the name Homo sapiens (human). RNAcentral's name for it is "HSALNT0117078". The record is from RNAcentral. Lineage: Eukaryota; Metazoa; Chordata; Mammalia; Primates; Hominidae.